AUCAAUGCAAAUCCGGGCUAGAUUUGUUAAUGUAGAACGCAGCGGAAGUUUUCGGUUCGUACCUUUUUGCGGAAGCGAUUCGCGCAACAACGCGAUGAGCCCGGAUCGGAUUGAUUGAUUCACGUGUCCUCGGAUCGUCCUUGAAUGUUUUCUCAUGCUCCAAACUCGCGGUGGAUCGAACUACAAACGAGCGCGAUCACAAAUCCACCGUGCAAGUCCCUCUAGAAUAAUAGGUCAAUGGAGGAUGUGGUUUCUCUCUAAUAUUUUCUUAUUCUCUCUUUUUCCGUUCUUUCCGUAUAUGCCGUUAUGUGGGAUCGCCCGCAUAUUUAUAAGGAAUUCCAAAAUCCUAAUAGCGUUCGAGAUAAGGCCAAAUCGAUUAUUAUUUGUUAUCCUAAUAUGAUUAGAUUUAUCUCUAAUUAGCUUUCCAAUUUGAAAGCGAGAUUAAUCCUAAUCCAAUUAGAUAACAUAAUAUCCGUCGGAUCGAACCCGCUUAUGGGCGUACCCGAUUCGAUUUAACCGAAUGCCAACAGUUAACGUACGGUUUUGUUUGGUUGGGGAUUAAAUAAAAAUUAGUUAUUAUAAGAAUAGGUAUAAGUUCAGGUGUAGGAUUGAAAUAGAUCAAUUUUGUAUUUAAAUAAAAAUUAAGUUGUUUUUGGGAAUAACGUUUGGAUAGAUAAAAUGGAAUAAGAAUAAUAGUGAGUAGUUAUAAAUUAAAAAUACUAAUAUUGUCCAAAUUAUUAUAUUUAAAUUUAAAUUUUUUAUUUUAUAUUUCAAAUUUCAAAUUUAAAUAGAUAAAUUCUAAAAUAGAAAAAUUCAAAAUUAAAAUCUAAAUUUUUAAAUCUCAAAUUUAAAAAUCUACUAAGACCUAAAUAUAAAGCCCAAUCCAAUCAAAAAUAAAAAGUUACUCUACUCAACUCACCCCUCCCAGCCCAUUUGGCUCGAUUACAAACAGAAAAGAAAGAAAAAAAAAAUGAUCAUCAUCUUCCCUUCUUCCCUUACUCAAUUCACUGAAACCCUAGACGAAGAGCCCUUUGCUCUUCUCCUCCUUUGCCACUGCAGCCAACGAGGUAGAGUUCCGGCUGUUGCUAAAUGUUUAAACAUGUGUUGGUAAAUUAGCAACACUCUUUUUAGGUUAUACCGACACUCUUAAAUUGUCACUAUAGAUCUAGCGACCCCACAUAUAGCAAUACUUUUUAAAAGUGUCGAUAAUUUAGCCAGCAGCACUUUUUUUGACCUAUACCGAUAUUUAAAAGUAUCGCUAUAUACCGUUUUUAUUGUAGUAAGCCCAAGAACUCUUAACUCUCUUACCUCUUAGGCGUAGCUACCGCUCAAAAUAUUGUAGUCGGGUUAAGAGGUUUAGCUCUAUUAUAUCUCAUAUUUUAGAUUAUUCCAGAUCUUAGGAGUAUCGUAUCCUCUCGUUUUAAGCGCUAUUAGAGUACACGUAGUGGCACUCAAUUGGAUAAAAGUU
Molecule: long non-coding RNA, 1468 nt
Filed under: Ananas comosus (pineapple)
Lineage: Eukaryota; Viridiplantae; Streptophyta; Magnoliopsida; Poales; Bromeliaceae
Description: long non-coding RNA (ACOM_LNC034146)
Source: RNAcentral